UACAGAGGGUGCAAGCGUUGUCCGGAAUCACUGGGCGUAAAGGGCGCGUAGGCGGCCUGAUAAGUAGGGGGUGAAAUCCUGGAGCUCAACUCCAGAACUGCCUUUGAUACUGGCGAGCUUGAGUUCGGGAGAGGUGAGUGGAACUGCGAGUGUAGAGGUGAAAUUCGUAGAUAUUCGCAAGAACACCAGUGGCGAAGGCGGUUCUCUGGGCCUUACCUGACGCUGAGGAGCGAAAGCGUGGGGAGCGAACAGG
RNAcentral lists this ribosomal RNA (253 nucleotides) under uncultured bacterium. RNAcentral describes it as "partial 16S ribosomal RNA". It matches the Rfam family "Bacterial small subunit ribosomal RNA", at positions 524 to 776 of the family's 1533-position model. The record is from RNAcentral.